This 603-nucleotide long non-coding RNA is filed under the name Cricetulus griseus (Chinese hamster). RNAcentral's name for it is "lncRNA (ENSCGRG00015035277.1)". Lineage: Eukaryota; Metazoa; Chordata; Mammalia; Rodentia; Cricetidae. The record is from RNAcentral.
UGGAAAGACAGAGGAAGGAGGCCUCAGGAACCUAUGCAGAAGAGGAGACAUAAAGACUGUAAGAUCCAGAGGUGGUGGAUGACUGCAAGUUCCUUCUAGAUCUUCUGGACCGCUGUACCCAACCUACUUUAUGUUUUUUCUCUCCAUUGGGAAGUUCUUUCAUCACCUCUGAGUUGCUUAUCAGAUUCCUUCGAAUGUUGACUUUGGUCAGAGAGACUUCAUUAUGCAAUGGCAAUUUCAGAGAUGCAUAACUGGUAAGAUUGUUGCAAGUUUAGAAAUAAAUAGGACAUCUGUGUCACUCCCUCCAAGGCCCAGGACUAUCACUGAAGAUCAGAAACAUCCUAAGGAUCAGAAAGAACUGAAGCCAAUAAGAAGGGGGAGAGUACUUCAGAACUCUGUCAUUCAGGUGCUUUCUUUGCAGAGAACUGAUUGAUCCUUUGAAUUUAGAACCCUGGGGCCUGGCAAGGCAGGACCUAUUAAGCCCAGCUGAACAAGCACAUGCUACUAUCAGGUCAUGGCUGGAGGAGCGUUUGCACCAGGCAGUGGGCUGUGUGGUUUGGGAUGAUGCUACCAGGAUGGAAUGCUCUAAUGCUCUGGCAUUAC